CCUAUCAUUCUCCUCUUUUCGGGCUACCCGAUCUGCCCUUAUGCCUGCCCGUCCCACUGCUCUCUUCCAAGUACCAAGUACACCUUUCCUUUUUGCCGUUUAGCUCUCUCUUUGCCGUUUACCAAGUACCAAAGACCUAUUUUCAUUUAUUUAUUAUAAUUUUUGGGGUUAUUUUUUCUUUUUUUAUAUUUUUAAUUUUUAUCUUUCUCUCUCUAAAUUCUCUCGUUUUCUCACUCUAAAACGCUCUUGGAUCGAAAGGCGGCUCGAAAUCUGAACCUCCCGAUUGGUGUUGCUCUGUUGGAUCCGUGCGUAGAUUAGAUUUGAUUGAUUAUUCCGCCGAGAGAAGAAAACCCUUUUAAUGGGUUUUGCAGAGUGCGAAUUGGUGAAUUGGGGGUGGAUGUGUAAUUGAAGGGGGAUAGAGGAUUGAUGGUACUCGUUGGGAUUAAAGUUGGGAUCGAGGCUGAAAUUGGGGAAAAUGCAAGGCUAUGCAUGGGAGGGAAGGUGAAGAGGGGAAACGGAGUCGGCACAUGUGGACAGUCCCUAGGCGUGUAGUUGCAGUCGAUGGUUCUUCUUCGUCGUGUUCAUCUUCACCCAAUUCGUUUUACAAGGACGGACGCAAGAUCACCGUUGGUGACUGUGCUCUGUUUAAGCCUCCUCAAGAUUCACCUCCUUUCAUUGGAAUAAUUCGUUGGGUAACAACAGGCAAAGAUAAUAAGUUGAAAUUAGGUGUAAAUUGGCUUUAUCGUCCAGCUGAAGUAAAGCUUGGUAAAGGCAUCUUGUUGGAUGCUGCGCCGAAUGAACUUUUCUAUUCGUUUCAUAAGGAUGUGAUUCCUGCAGCUUCGUUACUGCAUCCAUGUAAAGUUGCAUUCCUUCCUAAAGGUGUUGAACUUCCAUCUGGUAUUUCGUCUUUUGUGUGCAGACAGCUUUAUGACAUCACAAACAAGUGUUUAUGGUGGCUGACGGAUCAAGAUUAUAUUAAUGAACGACAGGAAGAAGUAGAGCAAUUGUUAAAUAAAACAAGAGUAGAAAUGCAUGCAGGUGGCCGAUCUCCAAAGCCAUCAAAUGGUCCAACUUCAACUUCACAGUUAAAAGCUGGCUCUGAGAGUAACCAGAACAGUUUGUCUUCCUUUUCAUCUCAAGUCAGGGGGAAGAAGAGAGAGAGAAUAGAGCAGGGCUCUGAUCCUUUGAAACGAGAGCGCUUUACGAAAACAGAGGAUGGGGAUUCUGGUCACUGUAGGCAGGAGAGUUUUUUAAAAUUUGAGAUAUCCAAGAUAACUGAAAAGGGGGGACUUGUUGACUCUGAAGGAGUUGAGAAAUUGGUGCAGCUCAUGCUACCUGAUAGAAAUGAAAAGAAAAUAGAUUUGGCUGGUCGGUCAAUGCUUGCUGGAGUUAUAGCAGCCACAGAUAAAUUUGAUUGCCUUAGCCGAUUUGUGGAGCUGCGUGGUUUGCCUGUUUUUGAUGAGUGGCUCCAGGAAAUUCAUAAGGGAAAGAUUGGUGACAGUAGUGGAUCGAAGGAUGGUGAUAAAUUAAUUGAGGAGUUUCUUCUUGUUUUACUUCGUGCACUUGAUAAGCUGCCUGUGAAUCUUGAUGCCUUGAAAACGUGUAAUAUUGGAAAGUCUGUGAAUCAUUUGCGAUCUCAUAAAAACUCAGAAAUCCAGAAGAAAUCUAGGAGUCUGGUUGAUACAUGGAAGAAACGUGUUGAAGCUGAAAUGAAUAUCAAUGAUGUGAAGCCUGGCUCUAAUCAUGCUGUCUCCUGGGCUGGAAGAUCAGCUCGUCUACCUGAAGUUGGAAACAGAAAUUCAAGUGGACCAUCUGAUGUUGCUGUAAAGAGCUCAGUUGGACAGGUUUUUCCUUCCAAAUCUGUUUCAGUUAAGCUUGUCCAUGGCGAUAGUACUACUAGGUCUGCUUCUGCUUCUCCAGGGUCUGUAAAGUCAGUUCCGUCCCCCGGAUCAGCUGGUAACAACAUAAAGGAUGGUCAUUUUCGAAAUGCCAGCGGUGGCAUGUCUGAUGUUCCUUUGACAGCCACUAGAGAUGAGAAGAGCAGCAGUUCUAGUCAGUCUCACAACAACAGCCAAUCGUGCUCUAAUGACCAUGCCAGAGCUGGAGUUGUUUCUGGCAAGGAUGAUGCAAGAAGCUCAAGUGCUGGUUCAAUGAAUGCGAAUAAGGUGUCUGGUGGCUCAUCACAACCUCGAAAACCAAUAAAUGGAUUCCAAGGCUCUCUACCAGGGAACCAAAAGGAAACUGGGUCUAGCAAAAGUUCUUCACUGCAUAAGAACCCAAUAGACAAAUCAUCAAAUUCUGGAUUGACUGGUGAUAAGAUGUCGGAAAGGACUACUGUUGACGGGAAUACUCAUAAAUUGAUAGUCAAGAUUCCAAAUCCUGGUCGUAGUCCUGCACGAAGUGGUGGAGGUUAUUUUGAAGACCGUUCAAUCAGGAGUAGUAGAGCUUCUUCUCCUGUGACUUCAGAGAAGGCGGAUCAAUUAGAUUCUGGCUUGAAGGAGAAAAGCGAUGCUUGUAAAGUUAACGCUGCUUCAGAUGUAAAUUCUGAGUCCUGGCAGAGUAAUGAUUUUAAAGACAUGCUUACUGCCUCUGAUGAAGGGGAUGGAUCACCUGCUGCUUUGACUGACGAAGAACGUUGUAGGACUGUUGAUGAAACAAAGAAAGUUGCAGAGGUUUCAAAAACUGCAUCCUCAUCAUCUGGAAAUGAGCAUAAAUCUGCAAAUCUUCAAGAACCUUCCUGUACUUCUAUGAAUGCUUUAGUUGAAAGCUGUGUGAAGUUUUCUGAAGGUAAUGGCUCGAUGUCUGGUUCUGAUGAUCUUGGUAUGAACCUGCUUGCUAGUGUGGCUGCUAGAGAGAUGUCCAAAUCUGAUUUGGUUUCUCCAUUUGAUUCUCCACAGAGAAACAAUUCCGUUGAACCCUCCUCUACUGGUGAUGAUUUAAAGGUAAAAUUACUAGCAGAAGGUGAGCUUGGACAAAACAAAUGCCUGUUCACUGGCGGUUCUAAUAAUGAGAAUGGGAAGCAUGCUAGUGAAUCUGAUAAUCUUAUGGCUAAGGAUAAAGAAGAUAAAACAGCAUUUCUGUCUGACCAUACACCUACGUCUGAGCACACGGUACGUGUAGGAUCUCCCAGUAAGGAUUUUAAGCAAGCUGAAGGCAUUGAAGACAGCAAAGGAAAGUGUAACGAUGUUAGUUUAGCUUCUCCUGUGAUCUCUCCUUCGAGGGUAAGUGAUAAAGCUGCAGACAGGGAAGGAGGCAAACCAACUGGUGGGAAGUCAGUUGAAGGGGGAGUAAAAACUGAGGGCAGUUUAGAUGUUAAACACAAUGUAAGUGAUCCUUUGUUAAAUGAAAAUAAGAUCACAGAAGCAGGCACAAUGAAUGAAUUCAAGACAGAAAAUCUAGGAAGAUUGUCUCCACACUCAUCAUUGGCAACUGAUGUCAAGGUGAACCUUAAGAAUGAAGAAACAGACAGUAUUGAUAAGACAGAUGAAAAGCAGGCCGUUUCAGUGAUGCAAUCCGACCUUGUAAAUGGGGCUUGUGAAGUAAUAUUGCCUUCUGAUCAUGGAAAAGAUUUGGUUUCAGAAAAAGCAUGUGAAAUAAAGUCCGAGAAGCGUGAUAUUAUGGGUAUUAUGCCUCAUGUUAGUGAGUCUGUAAAUCAAAGAAAUGAGCCAGAAGGUAACUCUCUUACAACCUCAGAGAAUCGGGCUGUAGGUGGCGUAAGUAGUGUAACUCAACAAAGUAGCAACUCUUUGGAGCAUGACCUCAAAAGUAAAGAGGUAGAACAAUGUGGUGGUGGCGAGCAGGUUUCUAACAUAUUGCCAUCUGCAUGUGAUGCGCAUGAGGCAGAACAACUUUUGAGGUCCAGGGAUUCUAAGUUGACUCGAAUGGAAACCAAUGAAGCUGGGGAGUGUGCAUCAAAAUGUGCGGCUGAUGUUUCUUCUAUCUCUUCUGUUGGGGUUUCAGGUUCAGAUGCGAAGGUGGAAUUUGAUUUGAAUGAAGGAUUUAAUGCUGACGAUGGGAAAAUUGGAGAUGUAAAAAUCUCAGCACCUGGAUGUUCACCUACUGGUCAUCUGAUUAGUCCAUUGCCUUUUCCAGUUACUUCUAUGUCUAGUCCCCUUCCUUCUUCCGUAACUGUGACGGCUGCAGCAAAAGGUCCUUUUCUUCCACCUGAGGACCUAUUACGGAGCAAAGGGGUACUUGGUUGGAAGGGUUCAGCAGCUACAAGUGCAUUUCGUCCGGCUGAACCGAGAAAAGUUGUAGAUAUGCCUGUUGGUGCAGUGAACAUCUCACAUGCUGAAUCCACUUCUGGGAAGCAAGGACGCCCUCCUCUGGAUAUUGACUUAAAUGUACCUGAUGAAAGACUUUUAGAGGAUAUGACAUCUCGGUAUUCUUCACAUGAGACAAGUUCGACUUCCAAUGCAAUGAGUAAAAGUGGUCGGGCUUGUGAUCAAUCCACAAGUGCAGCACCUUUUCGUAGUUCAGGAGGACUUGAUCUUGAUUUGAACCAGGCUGAUGAGACUUUAGAUAUGGGCAGUUUCACAAUCAACAAUAGUCGUCGAACUGAGAUUCCAAGUAUGCUAGUCAAUUCUUCAUCUAGGGGUACUUUAGGUGGGGAUGUAGGUGUUCGGAGGGAUUUUGAUUUGAAUGAUGGACCUUCUGUGGAUGAGAUGAGUUCUGAACCUGCACAUUUUAUUCAACAAGCCAGGAGUAGUGUUCUAUCUCAACCAUCUGUUUCUGGUUUUAGGAUGAACAAUACGGAAGCAGGGAACUUCUCAUCAUGGUUUCAUACAGGGAACAACACUUACUCAGCUGUUACCAUUCCCUCUGUUAUUCCUGAUCGAGGGGAGCAGCCUUUCCCAAUUGUUGCAGCUGGUGGACCACAGAGGAUGAUGGGUCCCCCCGGUGGUGGCAAUCCAUUUACUCCUGACGUUUAUCGAGGAUCUGUCUUGUCAGCUUCACCAGCAAUGCCUUUUCCUUCUACCUCAUUUCAAUAUCCAGUUUUUUCAUAUGGAACCAGUUUCUCGAUGCCCCCAAGCACUUUCGCUGGAGGUCCUACAACAUACUUGGACUCAUCUUCUGGUGGAAGGGUUUGCUUCCCAGCAGUGCAUCCACAGUUGUUGGGAACCUCUGCUGGUGGGGUUUCUUCCAACUACCCAAGGCCUUUUGUUAUUAGUCUCCCGGAUGGUAGCAAUAACAGUAGUGGCGAGAGCAGUAGAAAAUGGGGAAGGCAGGGUUUAGAUCUUAAUGCUGGGCCUGGAGGCCCAGAAAUAGAGAGUAGAGAUGAAUCUUUUCAUCUUGCACCAAAGCAGCUGUCUGUUGCCAGUUCACAACUCCCAUUGGAUGAGCAAAUGAGGAUGUUCCAGAUGCCAGGUGGCACUUUGAAGAGGAAAGAGCCCGAGGGAGGGUGGGAUGGCUUCAAGCAAUCGCCAUGGCAGCAGUAGGGUCGUGUGUUAGUGAUUCUGGUGACAAAAGAAACUUGUAAGUUGCUUAUAUGUAAAUUCUUACUGUAGUGUGCAAGACUGUGGAUUUAAUAUUUGAUUGAAUCUGCUGUCAACCUCUUGCAAAUGCCUCCAGUCGAAUUAUAUAAGAUCAUACGGAGCAUUUUUUACUGUUCUCCUUGAUUGGAUUUAUCUUUGGCUCAACACACCGCAGAACUGUCUUUUUAGUUAUUGGUUCAUUCAGAUGAAUAACAAUUGACUUCCUGCCUAUCUGUGAUUGUAAAUUUUGUAUAGGGGAAUACAUACAACUCUAUCUUUGGCCCUAGAUUCAACAUAGAAAUUUAUGGAUAGAAAGAAUAUAGAACAGAUAAGAGAAAUGGUUAAAGAGAAUUCUAGAAGGAAGUUAAUGAGCCGAGACAAUUCAAGCAAUUAAUAUUUUUGUUGACGUGUAAUAGCAAAUGAAGACCAUUUUUUUCGUUCUUUCUUCUCUGGUUAAUAUACUUUAUUUUGAACUAAACUGCAGGCUAAUUUUUAAUUUUGCUGAAUCAUGCACAUUCAUAUCUUUCUUGUACAUCCAAAGUGAUUUGAGGAUGAGCAUUUGCUAACUCCUGAGGUCAUCAUCUAACUUGUGUGCUUCUUGGGGAUGGGUGGUAAGUGAGUGAUUUGAUGUUGUUCCUAGUCUCCGACCCCCACCUCUUUGCUGUAUCAAUUGUAUCUUGAAGGGAAUUCGUUCGGGUCGUCAAGGUGUUGUUCCGUAAAUUUGUUAUGGGUGGCUGCAGAUCAGUUUCCCUUUUGUAGAUAUUUAACUGUUCGCACACACACUAUAUCCUAGGAAUCUCAAUGUUGGUGCCCAUACUGGUUUUAAUGCUUCAACUUAAUAUACAAUUGGACCCAAAAUCAUGUCUUCAACCCUGCCAAUAAUGGAGGUUGGAUUGUUCAAAUCUUUACCCAAAAGAAAAAAAAAAGCAUCUGUAUGUGUUUUGUUAAUUUUCUCUUAGGCUCAUAUUAGUAUAAUAGAUAUUUAUAUAUACAUAAAGCAGAGUGGCGGUCAAAUUUUGGCUCCCAGCUUUUCUUGA
Cannabis sativa is the source of this 6511-nucleotide RNA transcript. RefSeq lists it as uncharacterized. NCBI's taxonomy places the organism in Eukaryota, Viridiplantae, Streptophyta, Magnoliopsida, Rosales, Cannabaceae. The record is from RefSeq and is a predicted model, not a curated record. The transcript is spliced from 5 exons.